GUUUUAAUAAUUUAAAUUAAAAAUUUUGAUUUUGUAAAUCAAAUAUAAGAUAUUCUUUUAAAACU
This 65-nucleotide transfer RNA is filed under the name Omoglymmius wukong. RNAcentral describes it as "tRNA-Thr". Lineage: Eukaryota; Metazoa; Arthropoda; Insecta; Coleoptera; Carabidae. The record is from RNAcentral.